CAAACCUGUGGAGCACAGGACAUGGGCAGUGUUGACGAUUUCGUCACGUAAAAAUAAAUGGCUAGAGUACUCAGACAACAUAUUUCAGUGUGUGUGGGGGAAGACUAGUAGAAAUAGAAGUGUUCAUUUAAAAAAAAAAAAAAGUGUAGAAUUUGUCCUUAAAACGGGAGGGGGUGACAACAACUGGGCAAGACCAGAAACAGAGGAAACUCUGAGGCAUCAGGAGCAACGUGGAAUUCGCAACAUUUCUGCUCCACUGGAUCUGUUACACCUUGGAUUUUGCUACGGGGAACGAUUGACGUCAGUGCAGAUCAUCAAUCAGAUGUAAGCGAGGCAAGCGUCAAAGGAUGACUUCUGCAAAAGGAAGGUCUGAGCUGAGAUUUGGACAUGGAAGCUCAGAGCCGAGCUGGAAAAAGGAUUACUAAUCUCUUCCGACUGUAUAGCGUACCUUCCAUCGCGUUGCUAACGUGAUUGUGAACUAUACCAUGUGCUGCCUCUGGUAAAUUUCCAUUCCACAUUAAUCUGAAAAAUGCAAUUGAAUUAAAGUGUCCCCGUCAAUCAGGUAGUACGU
Long non-coding RNA from Syngnathoides biaculeatus (alligator pipefish), 571 nucleotides. RefSeq lists it as uncharacterized. NCBI's taxonomy places the organism in Eukaryota, Metazoa, Chordata, Actinopteri, Syngnathiformes, Syngnathidae. The record is from RefSeq and is a predicted model, not a curated record. The transcript is spliced from 4 exons.